GUCAGUCAGAGAGGCAUAGAAUGCAGUCGACGAUGAACCGCUUUCGGGCGGGGAUUAGUGGCGAACGGGUGAGUAACACGUGGGCAAUCUGCCCUGCACUCUGGGACAAGCCCUGGAAACGGGGUCUAAUACCGGAUAUGACCGUCUGCCGCAUGGUGGAUGGUGUAAAGCUCCGGCGGUGCAGGAUGAGCCCGCGGCCUAUCAGCUUGUUGGUGAGGUAGUGGCUCACCAAGGCGACGACGGGUAGCCGGCCUGAGAGGGCGACCGGCCACACUGGGACUGAGACACGGCCCAGACUCCUACGGGAGGCAGCAGUGGGGAAUAUUGCACAAUGGGCGAAAGCCUGAUGCAGCGACGCCGCGUGAGGGAUGACGGCCUUCGGGUUGUAAACCUCUUUCAGCAGGGAAGAAGCGAAAGUGACGGUACCUGCAGAAGAAGCGCCGGCUAACUACGUGCCAGCAGCCGCGGUAAUACGUAGGGCGCAAGCGUUGUCCGGAAUUAUUGGGCGUAAAGAGCUCGUAGGCGGCUUGUCACGUCGGUUGUGAAAGCCCGGGGCUUAACCCCGGGUCUGCAGUCGAUACGGGCAGGCUAGAGUUCGGUAGGGGAGAUCGGAAUUCCUGGUGUAGCGGUGAAAUGCGCAGAUAUCAGGAGGAACACCGGUGGCGAAGGCGGAUCUCUGGGCCGAUACUGACGCUGAGGAGCGAAGCUGGGGGGGAACAAAAAAAAAAAAAGGG
RNAcentral lists this ribosomal RNA (734 nucleotides) under Streptomyces exfoliatus. RNAcentral's name for it is "bacterial SSU rRNA". It matches the Rfam family "Bacterial small subunit ribosomal RNA", at positions 41 to 785 of the family's 1533-position model. The record is from RNAcentral. Lineage: Bacteria; Bacillati; Actinomycetota; Actinomycetes; Kitasatosporales; Streptomycetaceae.